This is a non-coding RNA of Triticum aestivum (bread wheat), 125 nucleotides long. The record is from Rfam. NCBI's taxonomy places the organism in Eukaryota, Viridiplantae, Streptophyta, Magnoliopsida, Poales, Poaceae.
GGUACACUCCCUCUGUUCGGAAUUACUCGUCUAAGAAGUGGAUGUAUCUAGAUGUAUUUUAGUUGUAGAUACAUUUAUUUUUAUUCAUUUUUGUGGCAACUAAUUCCGAACGGAGGGAGUACAUA